This 253-nucleotide ribosomal RNA is filed under the name uncultured bacterium. RNAcentral describes it as "partial 16S ribosomal RNA". It matches the Rfam family "Bacterial small subunit ribosomal RNA", at positions 524 to 776 of the family's 1533-position model. The record is from RNAcentral.
UACGUAGGGGGCAAGCGUUGUCCGGAUUUACUGGGCGUAAAGGGCGCGUAGGCGGCGCGGUAAGUCACUUGUGAAAUCUCUGAGCUUAACUCAGAACGGCCAAGUGAUACUGCAGUGCUAGAGUGCAGAAGGGGCAAUCGGAAUUCUUGGUGUAGCGGUGAAAUGCGUAGAUAUCAAGAGGAGCACCUGAGGUGAAGACGGGUUGCUAGGCUGACACUGACGCUGAGGCGCGAAAGCCAGGGGAGCAAACGGG